CGCCCAAUAGCUAGCCCACCCAUCAACCCCAAACCUACCCUAUCCAUACCCCCAAACACACCACCACCCAACAAACAAACCAUUUUCCCACCUAAGUACGGGCGACGAAAAAGGAACUAGAAGCAACAGAGAAAGUACCGCAAGGGAAAGCUGAAAGAGUAAUGAAACAACCCGGUAAAGCACUAAAAAGCAGAGAUCGCCCCUCGUACCUUUUGCAUCAUGAUUUAGCCAGAAAACCUUAAGCAAAAAGCAUUAUAGUUUAAUACCCCGAAACUAAGCGAGCUACUCCAAGGCAGUCUAAUUUAUAGGACCACCCCGUCUCUGUGGCAAAAGAGUGGGAAGAACUUUGAGUAGAGGUGACAGACCUACCGAGCCUAGUUAUAGCUGGUUGCCUGAGAACUGAAUAGAAGUUCAGCCCUUUAAAUUCUUCAUCCCCAUUGGCCCAAGGCCUUCACACCGAACAAAAGAAAUUAAAGGAGUUAGUCAAAGGGGGUACAGCCCCUUUGAAACAAGAUACAACUUUCCAAGGAGGGUAAAGAUCACAACAAACUUAAAGGUCUAAUGUCCUAGUGGGCCUAAAAGCAGCCACCUACUCAGAAAGCGUUAAAGCUCGAGCAUUACAUAACCAGCCUUCUAAUAAAGACAACACAAUCUCACCCCCCUAAACCUACCAGGCCGUUCCAUAAAGAUAUGGAAGCGUUUAUGCUAAUAUGAGUAAUAAGAGAGCCCCCCUCUCUCCCCGCACAAGUGUAACUCGGAACGAACCAUUCACCGACCAUUAACGGCCCCAGAACAAAGAGGGAACUAGACAAAAAACAAACAACUAGAAAAUCACCUAACCCCCCCCCCCCCCACCGUUAACCCCACACUGGUGUGCCAACCAGGAAAGACUAAAAGAAAAAGAAGGAACUCGGCAAACACAAGCCUCGCCUGUUUACCAAAAACAUCGCCUCUUGUACCCCUAAACAUAAGAGGUCCCGCCUGCCCUGUGACUAUAA
This 998-nucleotide ribosomal RNA is filed under the name Sarotherodon caudomarginatus. RNAcentral's name for it is "partial 16S ribosomal RNA". The stretch from base 188 to 998 matches the Rfam family "Bacterial large subunit ribosomal RNA", at positions 568 to 1875 of the family's 2925-position model. Lineage: Eukaryota; Metazoa; Chordata; Actinopteri; Cichliformes; Cichlidae. The record is from RNAcentral.